UCUUGGUAUGGUGGAGUAUGCCUUUAAUCCCAGCUAUAGGGGAGGUUAAGGUUGUCAAAAUCUUGAUAUGCUGAUUGUGUCUCUACACUGUUUGGCAUCAAUAUGGUGAGCUCCUGGGAACAGCAGUCCACUAGGCUGCCCAAGCAGGGUAAAUCAGCACUGGUAAGAAAUAGAGAAGGUCAAAGCGCCCAUGCCAAUUGGUAGUAAGAUUGGGCCCGUGAGAGGUUGCUGUACUUCCAGCCUGAGU
RNAcentral lists this small RNA (247 nucleotides) under Phascolarctos cinereus (koala). RNAcentral's name for it is "Metazoan signal recognition particle RNA (ENSPCIG00000021155.2)". It matches the Rfam family "Metazoan signal recognition particle RNA". Rfam says of the family: The signal recognition particle (SRP) is a universally conserved ribonucleoprotein. It is involved in the co-translational targeting of proteins to membranes. Lineage: Eukaryota; Metazoa; Chordata; Mammalia; Diprotodontia; Phascolarctidae. The record is from RNAcentral.